GUCGAACGAAGGAGAAAGAGCUUGCUCUUUGAAUUGAGUGGCAAACGGGUGAGUAACACGUAAACACCUGCCUUCAGGAUGGGGACAACAGACGGAAACGACUGCUAAUACCGAAUAAGGCCGCAUGGCGAAAGGUGGCCUUCUUAGCUAUCGCCUGAAGAGGGGUUUGCGUCUGAUUAGCUGGUUGGAGGGGUAACGGCCCACCAAGGCGACGAUCAGUAGCCGGUCUGAGAGGAUGAACGGCCACACUGGAACUGAGACACGGUCCAGACUCCUACGGGAGGCAGCAGUGGGGAAUCUUCCGCAAUGGGCGAAAGCCUGACGGAGCAACGCCGCGUGAGUGAUGACGGCCUUCGGAUUGUAAAGUUCUGUGAUCCGGGACGAGCAUCAGUGAGAACAUUGAUGAUGUUGACGGUACCGGAAAAGCAAGCCACGGCUAACUACGUGCCAGCAGCCGCGGUAAUACGUAGGUGGCAAGCGUUGUCCGGAAUUAUUGGGCGUAAAGCGCGCGCAGGCGGCGUGCAAGUCCAUCUUAAAAGCGUGGGGCUUAACCCCAUGAGGGGAUGGAAACUGCAGGCUGGAGUGUCGGAGGGGAAAGUGGAAU
Molecule: ribosomal RNA, 604 nt
Filed under: uncultured bacterium
Lineage: Bacteria
Description: bacterial SSU rRNA
Rfam family: Bacterial small subunit ribosomal RNA
Source: RNAcentral